UGUCCCUGGAUAGAGUUGCACCUGAUUUGGUGGUGUUUGUUUCAUGUCAGCCGGGGACAGAGUAACUCCUUGUUUAUCCUAGCUUGGCGUUUGGUCUGUGCCCAUGCCUGGUUCGUGCCUUGGACACUUGA
Eptesicus fuscus (big brown bat) is the source of this 131-nucleotide small nucleolar RNA. RefSeq annotates it as small nucleolar RNA SNORA48. The transcript has a single exon. Lineage: Eukaryota; Metazoa; Chordata; Mammalia; Chiroptera; Vespertilionidae. The record is from RefSeq and is a predicted model, not a curated record.